GAUGAAGAACGUAGCGAAAUGCGAUACGUAAUGUGAAUUGCAGAAUUCAGUGAAUCAUCGAAUCUUUGAACGCAUAUUGCGCUCUCUGGUAUUCCGGAGAGCAUGCUUGUUUGAGUAUCAGUAAACACCUCAACUUCCAUAUCUUUUUUGAAAUGGGAGUUGGACUUGAGUGAUCCCAACGCUUUUCCUCACCGAAAAGUGGCGGGUUACUUGAAAUGCAGGUGCAGCUGGACUUUUCUCUGAGCUAUAAGCAUAUCUAUUUAGUCUGCCUAAAAAACAGAUUAUUACCUUUGCUGCAGCUAACAUAAAGGAGAUUAGUUCUUGUGCUGACUGAUGCAGGAUUCACAAAGACAGGCUUCGGCCGACUUUGUAAACUCGAUCUCAAAUCAAGUAAGACUACCCGCUGAACUUAAGCAUAUCAAUCAGCGGAGGA
RNAcentral lists this unclassified non-coding RNA (433 nucleotides) under soil metagenome. Its description in RNAcentral is "partial contains 5.8S ribosomal RNA, internal transcribed spacer 2, and large subunit ribosomal RNA". The stretch from base 1 to 120 matches the Rfam family "5.8S ribosomal RNA", at positions 35 to 154 of the family's 154-position model. The record is from RNAcentral.